GGUUGAUCCUGCCAGUAGUCAUAUGCUUGUGUUAAAGAUUAAGCCAUGCAUGCCUAAGUUAAGCGAACAAAAGGUGAAACUGCGGACGGCUCCAUAGAUCAGUCAUAGUUCGUUUGGCAACUAGAAAACCGUACAUGGAUAACCCUGUUAAUUGUAGAGCUAAUACAUGCACAAAUGAAACCCGAUUGGGCAACCGAGAGGGUGGCACUUGUCAGAUCAGCCAGGGCUGGUGGGACUCUUUGACUAGGUGCCCUGUUUCUGAGCAGCAACAACCAUUUGCAGAAAACUCUGG
RNAcentral lists this ribosomal RNA (292 nucleotides) under uncultured eukaryote. RNAcentral describes it as "partial 18S ribosomal RNA". It matches the Rfam family "Eukaryotic small subunit ribosomal RNA", at positions 6 to 287 of the family's 1831-position model. The record is from RNAcentral.